Molecule: long non-coding RNA, 395 nt
Organism: Emys orbicularis (European pond turtle)
Lineage: Eukaryota; Metazoa; Chordata; Testudines; Emydidae
Exons: 3
Source: RefSeq, a predicted model, not a curated record
UCUUUUACUAGAAUGGGAAGACAAUCACUUAUCAAGUUUCAAACCCACAAUGCAGCAGCCCAUCACUGACAAGGAGGAGAAGAGUUCCAGAGGCUCAGUGCUGGAGUACAAGGGAAUAGGAAUGGAGCUGAACAGAUCCAACACCUGAAAGGACAAUUGGAUCUCAAAAUAUGAAACCAUGAAAAAGACCCUUCAUUCAAUAAAGCAACAGAAUUGGCGCUAAGGAGAGAUGAAGGAAACACAGCCAGCAUGGCCAGUAUUCAUGAAACAAUGUUCAAAAGUUGCCUGGGGUCACCUCUUGGGUUAAGGGGAGCAGCUGGUCCCAUCUGCUGGGAUGGAAGCAAAGAAGAAACCACUGGAGGCUGGUUAGUCCUGGGACACAGACAAUACCCUGG